This 300-nucleotide ribosomal RNA is filed under the name Triticum aestivum (bread wheat). RNAcentral describes it as "partial small subunit ribosomal RNA". Lineage: Eukaryota; Viridiplantae; Streptophyta; Magnoliopsida; Poales; Poaceae. The record is from RNAcentral.
AUGAAAAUCUUGAGCUGGAAUUGUCGUGGUAUGGCCAGCACCACGGCAGUCAGGGCGCUUCUGGAUGUCCAGAAGCAGUGGGAGCCGGAUGUGAUCUUUCUGUCUGAGACGCAUCUGAACAAAGCUAAGGCAGAGAUUCUGCGAAAGAAACUGAAGAUGGAUAAGAUUGAGGUGUAUGAAAGUAAUGGGGCAAGUGGUGGGCUGUUGAUCACUUGGCGUAGCCCUGUAGUUAUCGAACCAAUCAAUGCACAGAAAUUUUUUAUUGAUGUUGCGGUGGAAGGCCCUGAUGAGGUUUCCUAG